CACCGAUCGGCCCAGCCUCUCCUUCUCUGCCGGCUCCUUCCUCGUCGGCUGUGAUGCUGAGGUAGUCUUUCCCCGCCGGCUCCUUCCUCGCCGCCGACGCCUACUACUGCUGCUGCCCCACCACUGACGCCUACUGUUGCUGCUGCAUCGACCACCUGCAGCUGGUAUUUCUACCUCGACCAAACGAACUCGCCCAGCCUCUGCUGCUGCUAGGGUGCUGGUCCUGUCAAAUGCAGCAGAGUUUCUACGUCUAGACUAGUACUAAAAAUCAUCAGGAUGCAAACUUAACCGAUUGAACUCUCUGGAACUUGAUGUUUUCAGUUUCUAAUGGACUAGGACUGGAAUUGAGAAGAUGAAUGAUGGCAGGGCAGGAGAAGAUGAAUGAAUUGAGUGGGAGCUUAAUGGAAUUUUUAAAUGCAAACCAGCACUAAAACUGAGUUGGAUAUUGACACAGCACAACUGAGUUGAUCCAGACUCGAACCUGAGUUUUUAAAUGCAAAAUAUGGAUGAACAUUGGUGAUUACCACCACACUAAAUCCAAUUGUAUUUGUAAACCUAAAUAAAGUGUGGGACGACAUGGAUAUUGACACAGUACAUUACAUACUCAAA
This is a long non-coding RNA of Triticum urartu, 609 nucleotides long. RefSeq lists it as uncharacterized. The record is from RefSeq and is a predicted model, not a curated record. NCBI's taxonomy places the organism in Eukaryota, Viridiplantae, Streptophyta, Magnoliopsida, Poales, Poaceae.